This 136-nucleotide ribosomal RNA is filed under the name uncultured eukaryote. Its description in RNAcentral is "partial 18S ribosomal RNA". It matches the Rfam family "Eukaryotic small subunit ribosomal RNA", at positions 1299 to 1458 of the family's 1831-position model. The record is from RNAcentral.
UGGUGGAGUGAUUUGUCUGGUUAAUUCCGUUAACGAACGAGACCUUAACCUGCUGAAUAGUAUCGCGAACCGGCGUUCGUAGAUGCUUCUUAGAGGGACUGCCACGUUUAGUGGUAGGAAGUUUGAGGCAAUAACA